GGGUGAUUGAAUAAUUCAUUGAGAAAUUGGAAAAAUAGGAGAGAAUUGCUGACAGUUCGUAGAAGGUAAUUGCAUUCUUGGUCUCGAAAUGGAAAACACUCAGAGGAUCAGAGGCUACAGUCUCCAGACAUUUGCGAUUGUUGGGGCUGGACAAUGGAACUAAGCAACAGUGAAGCUACGUGUCAGUUUUAUUUGAAUAUGGAUACAGCGUCUCAAUGGAAAAUGCAGAAACAAAUGCUGUUCUUUGACAGAACUAUGGCCAUUGCACGCUAUGGCCAUUUUGUC
This is a long non-coding RNA of Athalia rosae (coleseed sawfly), 285 nucleotides long. RefSeq lists it as uncharacterized. Lineage: Eukaryota; Metazoa; Arthropoda; Insecta; Hymenoptera; Athaliidae. The transcript has 3 exons. The record is from RefSeq and is a predicted model, not a curated record.